ACUCGAGUCUUUGACGCAAGUUGCGCCCAAAGCCAUUAGGUUGAGGGCACGCCUGCCUGGGUGUCACACAUCGCCACCCCCCACACCGAAACGUGCGGCGGGGUGAAAGCUGACCUCCCGCGAGCCAGUUUCUCGUGGUUGGUUGAAAAGUAAGUUCACGGUGGAGUCCCCCGCGAUAAAAGGUGGAUGGGCGACGCCCGAGACCAAUCGUGCGGUGCGACUCCAACGUAUCGGACUUGUGUUGACCCACGCGUCCCGUGUGCAAACCGAGGGCGCCAUCUGCGAGACCUCAGGUCAGGCGGGGCUACCCGCUGAGUUUAAGCAUAUCAAUAAGCGGAGGAAAAGAAACUAACAAGGAUUCCCCUAGUAACGGCGAGCGAACCGGGAAGAGCCCACCAUGAGAAUCGGUCGCCUUCGGCGUUCGAAUUGUAGUCUG
RNAcentral lists this ribosomal RNA (436 nucleotides) under Cochliasanthus caracalla. Its description in RNAcentral is "eukaryotic LSU rRNA". The stretch from base 285 to 436 matches the Rfam family "Eukaryotic large subunit ribosomal RNA", at positions 1 to 152 of the family's 3401-position model. Lineage: Eukaryota; Viridiplantae; Streptophyta; Magnoliopsida; Fabales; Fabaceae. The record is from RNAcentral.